CCUUCGAUAGCUCAGUUGGUAGAGCGGUGGACUGUAGUUGAUGAAAAGUUGAUUCAAAAGAAAUCCAUAGGUCGCUGGUUCAAAUCCGGCUCGAAGGA
This 98-nucleotide transfer RNA is filed under the name Lucilia cuprina (Australian sheep blowfly). RNAcentral's name for it is "tRNA-Tyr for anticodon GUA". It matches the Rfam family "tRNA". From Rfam's summary of the family: Transfer RNA (tRNA) molecules are approximately 80 nucleotides in length. Their secondary structure includes four short double-helical elements and three loops (D, anti-codon, and T loops). Further hydrogen bonds mediate the characteristic L-shaped molecular structure. tRNAs have two regions of fundamental functional importance: the anti-codon, which is responsible for specific mRNA codon recognition, and the 3' end, to which the tRNAs corresponding amino acid is attached (by aminoacyl-tRNA synthetases). tRNAs cope with the degeneracy of the genetic code in two manners: having more than one tRNA (with a specific anti-codon) for a particular amino acid; and 'wobble' base-pairing, i.e. permitting non-standard base-pairing at the 3rd anti-codon position. The record is from Rfam by way of RNAcentral. Lineage: Eukaryota; Metazoa; Arthropoda; Insecta; Diptera; Calliphoridae.